Nothoprocta perdicaria is the source of this 804-nucleotide long non-coding RNA. RefSeq lists it as uncharacterized. Lineage: Eukaryota; Metazoa; Chordata; Aves; Tinamiformes; Tinamidae. The transcript is spliced from 2 exons. The record is from RefSeq and is a predicted model, not a curated record.
AAAAAAAAAAGAAAGCCCCACUUGGAUAAUUAGAACGGUUUCGUUGAUUAGUUGCUCCUGUGAUACUGGACAACUUGAAAUAUUACUGGGGUCGAUAACAGAGCAGGACGCUUCACCUUUCUGCUUCACCUUAAAGUUGGUCAACGGAGUGAAAAUCUUCCUACUUCAUAGCCGUCUUGCAAAUAUAUUUACUUAUUUUUAUUAACUUGAAUGUAGAUCAGAUUUCACAUGGCAGCAUCUCUUGGGUCUUGCUUGCUGUUAGGUUAAUUUUUGAGAAUGUCAUGUAAUACAGCAUAGAUAUCUUUAUGCAAUGUACAUGUAAUCCUGUAUGCUGAUUGAUUUUCUAUACUGUCAUUCACAUUCUGAAAAUCCAAGUAGAUUAUGAAUCUUUUCAGUUAUGCUUUCAUCCUAAUUCAACUUGUGUAUCCUGCCAAGGCAAACCAGUCAAGUGGUAUUUCUCAGCAGUGUAGUUAUUUAUUUUCUAUUUAAGGAACAGCAAUAUGCUACUGUUUGUACAGCUUGUAUAAUUUGUAYAGCUUCUUAAUCCAGUAGACUUUUGUUUGGUAGGUUAGUAAUUGCAUACAGCGAUUGUAGUCGUUGGAUGUUUUAUGACACUGGACAGCACCAGGCUUUCUGCACAUUAUGAAGACCGGGUUUUAGGAGAUUACAUGUCUUUGCCUUAUUGCAUAUCAUGAUUUCAUAAAUUUGUGCUUUUUAGUGUUAACUGUUUAUGCACUCAGCUAGUAACCAACCAGAUAUUUAUGUGAGGAAAGCAAGGAUGUUUGGUCAGUUAAAAAAAUGCCA